This 407-nucleotide ribosomal RNA is filed under the name uncultured Methylomirabilota bacterium. Its description in RNAcentral is "bacterial SSU rRNA". It matches the Rfam family "Bacterial small subunit ribosomal RNA", at positions 1027 to 1434 of the family's 1533-position model. Lineage: Bacteria; Methylomirabilota (SeqCode). The record is from RNAcentral.
CGUGGAGACAGGUGGUGCAUGGUUGUCGUCAGCUCGUGUCGUGAGAUGUUGGGUUAAGCCCCGCAACGAGCGCAACCCCUGCUAUUAGUUGCUAACAUGAAAGAUGAGCACUCUAAUGGGACUGCCGGUGACAAGCCGGAGGAAGGUGGGGAUGACGUCAAGUCCUCAUGGCCUUUAUGCCCAGGGCUACACACGUGCUACAAUGGGCGGCACAAAGGGCAGCGACGCCGCAAGGUGUAGCAAAUCCCAAAAAACCGUUCUCAGUUCGGAUCGGAGUCUGCAACUCGACUCCGUGAAGUUGGAAUCGCUAGUAAUCGUGGAUCAGCAUGCCACGGUGAAUACGUUCCCGGGCCUUGUACACACCGCCCGUCACACCACGAAAGUCUGCUGUACUCGAAGUCGCUGAG